UCAUGCUCUGUCUCUCUCUGUCUCGAAAAUAAAUAAACGUUAAAAAAAAAAUUAAAAAAAAAAAAAGAAUUUAGCUAGAUUGUUGUGGGACACUUUCUCAUUCUCCAGCAGGUUACUUUCAUCAGCAUGGUAGACCAGUUAGGAUCCAAAUAUUUAUGGAUGAUUUUCCAUAGGAGUUUGUCUGUCUCAAAGAUCUCUCCCUGACAGGGACAAUAUUGAUAUUCCUUUAUAGCAACUAAGAUGCACCACAAAAUACUUUGAGACCUUGUACUGUCUGAAUGACUACAGCUGGCAUAAUAAACUGCAGGAGGGGCUGAGUCACGAGGCAGCCCGACUGUUGCUAUUUCUCCUUAAUUAGCAUAAUAUGCCUUGCUUCAUAACCUCCACACUGAACUCACUAAAGCUCUAAGGAUUUCCCAGGCUCCUGAGUGUGACAAUUGAAAAUCCCUUCCUUUCAAGCUAGAUGUCAGUGUGUUUCUCUAGGACUGUGGUCCGACCAAGGUCAGAACGUUCUUCUAACCCAGAAUAGGUCUUUGUACUAGUUGACACAGCCAUAUUUUUGUGCUGAUUCCUCAAACCCCAAUUUCCGAAGAGUGCUGAGAAGAAGGCUGGAUGAUACCUGCAUAAGCAGGUGUGUGUGGAGAGGAACCCUGAGCUAGGUAACCUGCAUCUUUUAUAACAGGCAACGUUACCACCCUUGCUCCAGGGGAGAAGACUACCUGUACCUUCUAAGACUGUUCACUACACAAACACUGGAUAGUCCAGAACAAAGGGCAUUCAGUGCCUCAGAAAUAUGAAGGUCUCAUGGAGAAUUGUGUCCCAAUUAUUAAUGGGGAAAAAAGUCUAGAAAUUCAGCUGAUUUUUAAAGUCCCUAAAAUAUUGUCCAAUUUACCUUUUUAAAGACGGUCCAACUAGUAUUCCUUUCCACAUACUCUGCCUGCAGGUAAACUGGUCUUUUUACUUCUUGAACAUAUCCAAUAUUGACCCAACUUCUAGGUUACAGAAAACAAAGAAAAACCACAAAAAACUUCUUGCAAAUAAAAAUUAACACCACAAAUCUAAAUUCAUACUUUUAUUUUGUACAUCCUUCACUGUGAUGAUUCUUUUACACUAUGCUUAUCUAGCCUUUUGACAUGUUGCCUUGAAGGUGCUUUAAAUUCUUUACCAUAUAUAUUUACUGUUUCCAAAACAAAAUAGUGAGCUUCUUGGGAGUGUAAACUAUAUUUUUCCACGAGUCAAUAUUCCUAAUUCAAUUCCUCUUAACAAAUGCUACCUACUCACUAAUAUAUAAUGCCACUGUCUUUAAGUCCCUGAUAAAUAUAUUCUAUAUGAGGAGGGAACUAAAGAUUCCUAUUUUUCCCACUGAGAUCCAGAAUUAAACAGUCAACAGACCAAAGUAGACCUCUGUAAUUCAAAUGUCACACUGCAAUUUCAAAUUGGCAGCCUUCCUUGAGUUUCAUUUUACUUGCCAAGGAAACAAUGAAGCGCUUAUUCUGAUGCCAGCAGAACUGUGGGAAGGGACAGAGAGAUUUGUAUUUCCCUGAAUUUAUAAUCUGCAGAAGAGAACAACUACAGGAACCAAAGUGGCACAUGUUAUACGAUUACUUUAAUAAUUCUAUAAUUCUACAACUAAUUGAAUCUUGGAAAAUACAAAGUGAUGCAUAUGAUUGCAAAAAUGCUAACCAGGAGUUAUAGAAAUGAAAAGAGAGAAUAAGUCUACUCCUUUCCUCACGGCUGUCUGGUGGUUCGUGGCAGCAAUUCUUUCUGACAAAGUCCUGCAACACCAGGACUCAAAGUUAUGACUAAAAAGAAGUCAUGUCAAUGUGAGUGACCAAAUUCUUACUGCUGAAGUCCAAAGAUUUUCAAGGAAUGAAGCAAUUCAAGCAAGCAACUCCCCUCUGUCAAUGUGACAAGUUCCAAGUUAGAAUCAACCUUGGAUGAUUUGACCCAAACCAGAAGCUAUCUAUCCUUCAGUAGACAAUGCUGAUCUAAGCGCUGGCUCUGGAAAUUAGUUGGAUGAACUCGGUUGUCCUGCAUUUAAUUAGAGGUUUUCCUGGCUGGCCCAGGGAAUGUCACAGGGGAUAUUGUGAAAUAAAAAUUAUUCUAACUUUGAAAUCACAAGAUGAUUCCAUAAAUGAUAAGAAAAGUGAGAAGCCAAGUGAUUGAUUACACAAUUCAGAAUUAACAAUGAUGUGUAAAUCAAUACAUUGUUCAAUUACAUAUAAAAUUAACUCAGUUAUUCACGGACCAUUAACCCACUGGAUAACCAAUAUUGGUCCUUCUCACCGUCAUUAUGUCUGUUGGCCAUUUUACUUUUCAUUAACAAAGAGGGAGAGAGUAAAUAAAAAAUAGGGGCAUACCACUUAAAUUGAUUUAACACUAUUUGGUACUAUUAGUAAAAAAAUUAAAUCAAGGAGAUGAAAUAUUUACGCAAGAGUGGAUUUUCAUUAUUUGUACAGCUUCAUUUCUCCUAUGCACAGAAAAUUAACAGUUGGUUUUAACUGAGCAUGUUUUGGCAACACACAAGAAAGGGAGAAUUAUAAGUCAGAGAGGAGCAUGAGAAAGAGACAAAGAAAAAGACUCCUUGACCUUUUCAGUAAAGUGAAGGUUACUUGGAAUAACAUAGUAGCAAGCAUCUGAUUUCUAUUUCUACAACUUGAAGACAAAAGAAAAAGUUUAACCUAGAGGUAAACUCUAAUUUAAAAAACAAAAUCAUAUACUCAAUUAUUCUUCUCUAAAGUCCUGCCUUCACAGGAUACUUAGGGAUUAUCUACCUAGAAUAAGAUUAAUUCUCCAAGCACUUGAUUCCCCCAUUAUUAGAAAUACGGAAUAAAGAAUCACAUAACCUAAGUAUUACAAGAAACUCCAUCACUCGAAACAGGAAUCCUCUUUCCAACAUCUCUUGUUCCCCAGUUAUUCUGUGUGUGCCUGAACAAAGACAGACCCAUCAGCCCACUCCAUUCAAAAACAGCAAAGUGUUGUAAAAAGUCCCAACUUUGGAGACAGGAAGACUCUAUUCCCAUACUAAAUCUGCCAACUACUGGCUGUAUGACUAGAAAAAGCCUCAUUUGCUUUGUUUGCCUCAUUUUUAGAAAAAAAAAAGUCUCUUCUGUGUGCUGUAAAGAUUAUAUGAAAUCAUCCAGGGAAAUGCACCUUGCAAAGUGCCAGGCACUGAAUAUUUAUUUACCUUCCUUAGUCCUGAAAAAUACCUGCUCAGGUGACAAUCAACUUUGCUUUCUUUAAAAAAAAACUAGGCAAACAAAAAAAAAUCUUUAUGAUGUGCUCUUAGGUAUAAAAGUUGAGUAACAAACACUCAUUUUGCAUUUACUCAAAUUGGAGAAAAUCUAACAUCAAGCAAACAGCUUUAGGGGCCUGAGUUGAAAACUUCUGGGGCUGAAUGGAAUCAGUUCCUCAAAAUAACUGGAAGUAUGUGAUAUGUAGCACAUGAUCUAAAGUUUUCACUAGGAGAGCCUUAAAGAGCUAUCUUAUUUUACCUCUUUCCUUGUUAGACUUGAUGUUUUAUUUCACAGAUUCAUGGACCAGUAAAAGCUAGAAAGAAUUCAGAAUUUGAGCCCAAUCUCUUAAAGCCGAAGAUACUGAGGACCACAGCCUGGGAAGCCUGACUUCCUCGUCUUCCCCAACUUGAUGUCAUCAGAACUGCCCCGAACCUCACCUCCAAAUUCUUUCUAGCAGAAUGAGCAGGUAAAAACCAAACCUGCAGAGAAUGAUUCUACAAUCCUAAAACAGGCUUGCAGCCAAACCAAAUCGGUGUCUCUGAUAAAACACAAAACACUAGCACAGAGAACUGAAGACUAAUAGGUAAGAUGAAAAUUUAAAUAUCUGACAAAAUUGGUUUUUUUGCUUUUUAAUUUUUAAAUCCAAAAUAACAUUUUCAUAUGUAAUAUCUCAGAAUAAAAAAAAAUACUUGCCAUUUCAAAUGCACUCUGAAAG
Molecule: long non-coding RNA, 3951 nt
Organism: Herpailurus yagouaroundi (jaguarundi)
Lineage: Eukaryota; Metazoa; Chordata; Mammalia; Carnivora; Felidae
Exons: 4
Source: RefSeq, a predicted model, not a curated record